GAUCAGGUAGGGAUACCCGCUGAACUUAAGCAUAUCUAAAGGCGGGGGAGG
RNAcentral lists this ribosomal RNA (51 nucleotides) under Aspergillus niger. Its description in RNAcentral is "partial 28S ribosomal RNA". Lineage: Eukaryota; Fungi; Ascomycota; Eurotiomycetes; Eurotiales; Aspergillaceae. The record is from RNAcentral.